UACGGAGGGUGCAAGCGUUAUCCGGAUUUACUGGGUUUAAAGGGUGUGUAGGCGGGCUUUUAAGUCAGUGGUGAAAUCUCCCGGGCUCAACCUGGAAACUGCCAUUGAUACUAUUAGUCUUGAAUAUUGUUGAGGUAGGCGGAAUAAGUCAUGUAGCGGUGAAAUGCAUAGAUAUGACUUAGAACACCAAUUGCGAAGGCAGCUUGCUAAACAAUGAUUGACGCUGAGGCA
This 231-nucleotide ribosomal RNA is filed under the name uncultured bacterium. RNAcentral's name for it is "partial 16S ribosomal RNA". It matches the Rfam family "Bacterial small subunit ribosomal RNA", at positions 524 to 753 of the family's 1533-position model. The record is from RNAcentral.